This 303-nucleotide unclassified non-coding RNA is filed under the name Hevea brasiliensis (rubber tree). Lineage: Eukaryota; Viridiplantae; Streptophyta; Magnoliopsida; Malpighiales; Euphorbiaceae. The record is from RNAcentral.
GGGACGGAUGCGGAGGGGGGCGGAUGGGGAGGGGAACUUGAAGUCUUUGACUUUAGAGGAGGGGGGUGGGCAGCAUUUUAUGGGCCUGGCGCCACUGGGGAGGUCGGGUUCGCCGCACUGGGAGAGGUUUGGUGCUUCGAUGGGGAGGCUGAGGGCUGGGAGGGAGGUGCCGAGGCCAUAAAGGCCGCCGAGGCCGAUGAGGAUGUCACGGCGAUCGAGCUUAUCGUCGGCACCGUUGGCUUUACAAGUGAUGGUAGGGCGUGGUUUGGGUCUAUUGAGAGAGACGUUGGGUAGUGCCCUCGA